AGUCACUGACAUUAGAUACCCGGGUAGUCCAGGGUGUAAACGCUGCAGACUUGGUGUUGGAGGCCCUUUGGGGGCAUUCAGUGCCGGAGAGAAGUUGUUAAGUCUGCUACUUGGGGAGUACGUCCGCAAGGAUGAAACUUAAAGGAAUUGGGCGGGGGAGCACCGCAACGGGAGGAGCGUGCGGUUUAAUUGGAUUCAACACCGUAAAACUCACCAGGGAAGACUGUUACAUGAAGGCCGAGAUGAAGACUCUGCUAGAUUUUCAG
This 266-nucleotide ribosomal RNA is filed under the name uncultured archaeon. RNAcentral's name for it is "partial 16S ribosomal RNA". It matches the Rfam family "Archaeal small subunit ribosomal RNA", at positions 719 to 982 of the family's 1478-position model. The record is from RNAcentral.